AUCGUUCAGAGGCCGCCUUCACGACAGACAUUACAGACGGAAGUUUGUAUCAGCAGCAACGCAAGGAUCUCGGUCUCGGUGCUAUGGACUUGACCAUGACGAUAAACUCUGAUGGAAGUCCGGUUUUCAACUCGUCAAAGUUUUCAAUAUGGCCCGUUCAGACAAUAGGUAAUGAGUUGCCUCCAGGAUUGCGGUCCAAAAAUGUUACAGUUGCCAUGCUGUGGUACGGCCAGUGCCUUCCAGAUAUGACAUUGGUGCUGGAGGCAUUUGCCAAGCAAAUGGACUCUCUCGCCGAGACUGGGAUCAGCUAGACGUGUGACGGAGAGACCUUUCACUCAAAAGUCUACUGUUUCACUGGUACGGCUGAUGCCCCAGCCAGGGCUCUGAUGCAGAACACGGUCCAGUAUAAUGGAUACUUUGGGUGUGGCUGGUGUUUGUACCCUGGCAAGUGCGUUGAAGGUAAGCAAACUCACUUUUAUACAAAAACAUCUAGCUGACUGCAUUUUAAUCUGUGUAUGGGCUUUACCAUCACUAUUUUGCCACUGUAAUUUGGUUUAUGCAUUCUUAUUUGCUCUACACAAAUUUGUGUUUUGAGUGUUCUUUUUGCAAAGUAGUUUUGCCUGAAGUAAAGGUCAGUGUGCAUUCA
RNAcentral lists this long non-coding RNA (646 nucleotides) under Dermacentor andersoni. RNAcentral describes it as "uncharacterized LOC126529749". Lineage: Eukaryota; Metazoa; Arthropoda; Arachnida; Ixodida; Ixodidae. The record is from RNAcentral.